RNAcentral lists this long non-coding RNA (387 nucleotides) under Sorghum bicolor (sorghum). RNAcentral's name for it is "long non-coding RNA (SBIC_LNC004668)". The record is from RNAcentral. Lineage: Eukaryota; Viridiplantae; Streptophyta; Magnoliopsida; Poales; Poaceae.
CGGACGACGCUACUGACGACGACAGAAGCUCUGUAGUGGUAACUGGUGCCGUAAAGACUGCAGGAGCCUGCAGAGGAGGAGGCGUAGGGUCACCAGUCAGAGCACUGUAGGUGAAGCUGAGGUGCGGAUCUGUCUGCGAAUCCCACACAAGCUGUGACGCUGACGCUGACUGAGGAGUGAAGCCUGAGCGGAGAGGAGUGAAUUGAGGUACCUGCUCAAAGCCGGAAGAGAUAGCACCCUGAGAGACCUGGUGCUGAGGCGUCGAGAACGGCUGACUCUGAGCUGGUAACUGAAGCGGCUGCUGAGACGGGCUCUGAGUCUGAGGCACUGGAGUAGGUGGCCUGACAGUCGACGUGCCUGGGAGCUGGAUCUGCGGUAGCUGAAUCC